CUGCACGUACUCUGACUGCUCAAGGUUCAGCCAGUUGUUUACUGUGUGGGACCCCUCACCAACUUAAAGCUACAUGCAUGGGUCAGUGUGAACAUGCGAGGACAGCCAGCCUCCACGGCAGCGCAAGGACAGAGCCUGGGACUUGUCCAGGCCUGCCCAAAAAUGAUAACUGUAACCGCAACCAGUCAAUUCAAAGGUUACAUACCUUCACCCAAUCACAUGAUGCCGAGGCUUGUACCACCCUGCUUGUGUUUUUUUUCCCUUUAAAAACGCCUCACCCUGGGAGCUCAGGGCCGUCCUCCUUCACCUGGCUAGCCAGUGUGUUGGACGCGGACCAAGCCGGGGUUUGCUUGUGAUCAAUAGAUGCCUGUGUGGUGUGUUUUGCAUCGGAUAUCGGCUCUGUGGUGGUCUUGCUCUGGGCUCUCGCGAUGCAGCCACAGGCAGCACAAAUAAAUUAUCUAAACAUCAAACUGGGACACGGUUCCGGGCAGCAGAGCCACCGUGUCCUGGGAGCAGAGGUCUUGCAGCUGUUUUGUGUCAAAUGACUCAGAUGCCACACAGCAAACAGCCAACAAAAGUGUCCUCGGAAACCUGACUUUUUAAAAUCUGGUCCCCUUACCCGAAGGGCAAGGCCCGGAAGUGUUUCUCUGCUGAGUGGGAGAGGCAGAAGCUGCCUCCAAGCAGUGAUUCCUUCCAGAGAAGCAGUCUAUGUUCAAAGGUCCCUCCUUGAGUUCCUGCCCUGACUUCCCUCCAUGGCGGACUGUGAGCUGUGAAUCAAAUAAACCUUUCCUCUCCAAGUUGCAUUUGCCCUGUGCUUUUUCAUGUGACAGAAACGAAACUAGAACAGUGGUCAAGAGCACUUGCUGCACAGUCGUGGGGCUGCAGCCUGGAUCCCAGCACCCGCGUAACCAGCCCAACAUGCCAACGCCAGGAGGGGCAGAGAUGGAAGGACGGCUGAGCCUCGCAGACUUCCAAUCUAGCUGAAUGAGCCCCAGGUGCAGGGAAGACGCCUGCCCGGAAGGAAUAGGCAAGAGCGAUAGAGGAGGCCAUCUGGUACCCUCUUCUGGCCUCUACACGUGUGUACACGUGCAUGCAUCCAGAGACUACAUGUGUGCUUAUACUCACACAGGGACAGGAGUACCUCAACCAAAAAAAAUCAAUUAAAAAAACCAUUUGGGGCCUCAGUUUCUUUGCUUGUUUUAACCCGCGUGCCGCACACAUUAAAGGAUGAGUACGACAGACUUCUCAAAACAGGAGAGUGUCAAUUUGGGAGCCCUCCAAAGUGUAUAGGACCUUGUAAAUGCCUCCGACCCUCCACCUCACAACUCCAAACAGGGUCUGCUGCUGGGGAGGGGGACAGAGAGGUUUGUC
Non-coding RNA from Peromyscus maniculatus bairdii (prairie deer mouse), 1371 nucleotides. Lineage: Eukaryota; Metazoa; Chordata; Mammalia; Rodentia; Cricetidae. The record is from RefSeq and is a predicted model, not a curated record.